RNAcentral lists this transfer RNA (72 nucleotides) under Haptophyceae sp. NIES-3900. Its description in RNAcentral is "tRNA-Met". It matches the Rfam family "tRNA". Rfam says of the family: Transfer RNA (tRNA) molecules are approximately 80 nucleotides in length. Their secondary structure includes four short double-helical elements and three loops (D, anti-codon, and T loops). Lineage: Eukaryota; Haptophyta. The record is from RNAcentral.
AACGAGGCAUAUCAAGGGUUGAUUUUUAGGCUCAUGACCUACAGGUUGUUGGUUCAAUCCCAACCCUCGGAU